GAUGAACGCUGGCGGCGUGCUUAACACAUGCAAGUCGAACGGUGAACACGGAGCUUGCUCUGUGGGAUCAGUGGCGAACGGGUGAGUAACACGUGAGCAACCUGCCCCUGACUCUGGGAUAAGCGCUGGAAACGGCGUCUAAUACUGGAUAUGUGACGUGACCGCAUGGUCUGCGUUUGGAAAGAUUUUUCGGUUGGGGAUGGGCUCGCGGCCUAUCAGCUUGUUGGUGAGGUAAUGGCUCACCAAGGCGUCGACGGGUAGCCGGCCUGAGAGGGUGACCGGCCACACUGGGAUUGAGACACGGCCCAGACUCCUAAGGGAGGCAGCAGUGGGGAAUAUUGCAAAAUGGGCGAAAGCCUGAUGCAGCAACGCCGCGUGAGGGAUGACGGCCUUCGGGUUGUAAACCUUGUUUAGCAGGGAAGAAGCGAAAGUGACGGUACCUGCAGAAAAAGAGCCGGCUAACUACGUG
RNAcentral lists this ribosomal RNA (469 nucleotides) under uncultured bacterium. RNAcentral describes it as "partial 16S ribosomal RNA". It matches the Rfam family "Bacterial small subunit ribosomal RNA", at positions 28 to 507 of the family's 1533-position model. The record is from RNAcentral.